UCCUCCAUCCGGCGACGGAUUUUGACGUGUAAGAUGUCGUUGGAAAGCUCUCUUCCUUCUCUUCAUUUCUGGGUUCGUUUCGUAGCUUAAUAUGAACUGUGGAAGGUGCAGCAACGAGAAGAAGAGGACGGUCACUGUAGCAGUUUUGAGUCAACGCCGAUAUUUUCCGAUUCCGGCAGUCUCCGGCCACCAAAUUGGCUUCGAAGGGUUCUUGGAAUUUCUGGAAACUUUUCACCGGCCAAAUUGGAGCUCUUCCAGGGCAAUGCCGCGAGCUACAGUUAAAUGAAGGAACUCGUUUGCGUGGUCGCCCAAUAGUACUUUUGCAGGCGAAAUUAGUUGAGGUCGGGCGUACAUGGAGUCGAGGCAUAGCCAACAGCAUUGCAUCCGCGUACUCAUUCUAUUUUUGUUUUCUUUGUUACCUAGUGGAUUAGUAUUGCUCUGAUAACCUAUGGGAUUAAUAUUGUUUUUGGGUUGAGACUGAUAUUUGUGAAAUUGGAGUUGUGA
Molecule: long non-coding RNA, 504 nt
Organism: Rosa rugosa (rugosa rose)
Lineage: Eukaryota; Viridiplantae; Streptophyta; Magnoliopsida; Rosales; Rosaceae
Exons: 4
Source: RefSeq, a predicted model, not a curated record